Molecule: transfer RNA, 57 nt
Filed under: Ovis aries (sheep)
Lineage: Eukaryota; Metazoa; Chordata; Mammalia; Artiodactyla; Bovidae
Rfam family: tRNA
About the family: Transfer RNA (tRNA) molecules are approximately 80 nucleotides in length. Their secondary structure includes four short double-helical elements and three loops (D, anti-codon, and T loops).
Source: Rfam by way of RNAcentral
UGGCUUAGAUGGUAAAGCCUCUGCCUGCAAUGCAGAAGACCCGGGUUCAGUUCCUGG